GAAAGGAGCCCUUCAUCGCUGGAGGAGGACAAAGAGGGGUAGGAAGCCAUUUGGCAGAAGCCUGUGGAGGGGAGUAUCACAUAGGGACUGGACUAUAUAAGUGGCUCCCAAGUUUAGCUGUGCAUCCGAAUAGCAUGGGGAGCUUUAAGAAAGGAUAACCAUCACCUGGCCCUGCCCUCAGCCAUUAUUAGGUAUCGGUUAGAGCCUGGGAAUUUAAAAAAAAACUCCCUAUGUGCAUCUGAUGUGCAACCAUAUUUGGGAAGCACUGGCCUAAAGUGGUCUUUGGGGAUUCUAGGACUCCAUCGUGAUGUAGAGUGUUGACUACUUUUCAGGAAUGUGUUGGAUUCAGCUUUUUAAUUAGGGAGAAAAAAAAUCAGAACCUCUGUAAUGGAUAUUGGGGCUGGAGCCACUGUGGGUGUUUGAAUAGAAAGCUUGAAGGGGAAAGAGUGAGAUAACACGUCAGUGUAGCAGGGGUGUGUUUACACUAGGCUGGUGGGGGAAGGGAAACUACUUCUCUUCCUCAGCAUUUUAGAACCUUAUAUGUCUAGGAAAUCGCUGAAGAAAAUUCCAGCUCUGAGAAUGAUGAACAGAUCAGCCAGAUUAAAACAAAACAAAACAACAACAACAACAAAAAAAACACGUGAACUGUCCUAUUUAUUGUACACUGAGUAUAGUCAUUAUCUGUAUUUGAACUGAAGAUGGAAAAAGGUCACACAGCACUAUGCACUUGGCUAGAUUUGCAGGGAAU
RNAcentral lists this long non-coding RNA (748 nucleotides) under Marmota monax (woodchuck). The record is from RNAcentral. Lineage: Eukaryota; Metazoa; Chordata; Mammalia; Rodentia; Sciuridae.